RNAcentral lists this long non-coding RNA (249 nucleotides) under Vigna radiata. Its description in RNAcentral is "long non-coding RNA (VRAD_LNC016833)". The record is from RNAcentral. Lineage: Eukaryota; Viridiplantae; Streptophyta; Magnoliopsida; Fabales; Fabaceae.
GGUGAACAGGUAUGAUUGAUGGGAGGGAAAAUCGUAGCCAUUGUUGAGCACAGGAUCGAAUGGCUGGGGUGACGUGACGUUUCGUUACCCAAAAGCGUUCUGAGAGCUUAAACCCCUUCGCUAAUCGAAGACGCUCGGGGCUUGGGGGGCUUGUGUAGUGGUGGAAGGUCGGUUGAGUCGGCCGGAUCAAGAGUGCUGGAGGAAGACCGGUCGGCCAGAUUGCCAAAGUCACAAGGGGCAAAGGCGGCN